RNAcentral lists this ribosomal RNA (497 nucleotides) under uncultured bacterium. RNAcentral describes it as "partial 16S ribosomal RNA". It matches the Rfam family "Bacterial small subunit ribosomal RNA", at positions 28 to 507 of the family's 1533-position model. The record is from RNAcentral.
GAUGAACGCUGGCGGCGUGCCUAAUACAUGCAAGUCGAGCGAACAGACGAGGAGCUUGCUCCUCUGACGUUAGCGGCGGACGGGUGAGUAACACGUGGAUAACCUACCUAUAAGACUGGGAUAACUUCGGGAAACCGGAGCUAAUACCGGAUAUUAUAUUGAACCGCAUGGUUCAAUAGUGAAAGACGGUUUUGCUGUCACUUAUAGAUGGAUCCGCGCCGCAUUAGCUAGUUGGUAAGGUAACGGCUUACCAAGGCGACGAUGCGUAGCCGACCUGAGAGGGUGAUCGGCCACACUGGAACUGAGACACGGUCCAGACUCCUACGGGAGGCAGCAGUAGGGAAUCUUCCGCAAUGGGCGAAAGCCUGACGGAGCAACGCCGCGUGAGUGAUGAAGGUCUUCGGAUCGUAAAACUCUGUUAUUAGGGAAGAACAAAUGUGUAAGUAACUAUGCACGUCUUGACGGUACCUAAUCAGAAAGCCACGGCUAACUACGUG